This 468-nucleotide ribosomal RNA is filed under the name uncultured bacterium. RNAcentral's name for it is "partial 16S ribosomal RNA". It matches the Rfam family "Bacterial small subunit ribosomal RNA", at positions 28 to 507 of the family's 1533-position model. The record is from RNAcentral.
GACGAACGCUGGCGGCGCGCUUAACACAUGUAAGUCGAACGGACAGUCUCUGCUACUGGGGUUUGCUCGCGUGGCGAACGGGCGACUUACCCGUGAGUCACCUGCCCUUGACCAAGGGAUAACUUCCGGAAACUCGGGCUAAUACCGUAUAUGAGCCUCUGCUGCAUGGUGGGGUGUGACAAUUUUCGGUGGUUGGGGAUGGUCUCGCCGGUUCACAGCUUGUUUGUGUGGUAAUGGCUUAGCAAGGGUUUGACGGGUAGCCGGCCUGACAAGGUGACCUGCCACAGUGCGACUGUGGUACUGCACAGACUCCUACGGGGGCCAGCAGUGGCGAAUAUUGCACAAUCGGCGGAAGCCUGACGCAGCACCGCCGCGUGCGGGAUGAAGGCCUUCGGGUUGUCACCCUCUUUCGCCUGUGACGAAGCGUGAGUGACGGUACUGGGUAAAGAAGCACCGGCUAACUACGUG